GGAAAAUACUGAAGCAGCAAGACUAGCACAUAUGGAAUGUAAAUACACUACAGAAGUCAUGCAGUUAAGAAUUCGAGAACUUGAAGAUGCUUUGAAUGAAGAGCAAGGCAGCAGGAGAGAAGCUGUUCCAGUGGUAGCAAAGAAAGAUUUCCGAGAGUCAGAAAAUUCACAUGAGAGAGGGGAAAAAGUUUUACAAAGACAGCAUGCAUCCUCAAAUGCAAUGGAGAGAGGGGGCUGAGGAAAGGAAGGACACUGAAGAACCCUCUGGGAGGUUAGUGAAUGCUGCAACCAGCUUCAGCCUGCAUGA
Molecule: long non-coding RNA, 307 nt
Organism: Ficedula albicollis (Collared flycatcher)
Lineage: Eukaryota; Metazoa; Chordata; Aves; Passeriformes; Muscicapidae
Exons: 3
Source: RefSeq, a predicted model, not a curated record